Dreissena polymorpha is the source of this 297-nucleotide long non-coding RNA. RefSeq lists it as uncharacterized. The transcript has 2 exons. NCBI's taxonomy places the organism in Eukaryota, Metazoa, Mollusca, Bivalvia, Myida, Dreissenidae. The record is from RefSeq and is a predicted model, not a curated record.
AAUGGUUUCAGGAUGAUAACUCAAGAAAGCUUACGCCUAGGGUCAUGAAACUUCAUAGGUACAUUGAUCAUGACUGGCAGAUGACCCCUAUUUAUUUUCGGGUCACAAGGUCAAAGGUCAAGGUCACAGUGACAAAAAAAGUAUUCACAGAAUGGCUGCCCCUACAACUGACAGCCCAUAUGGCGGGCAUGCAUGUUUUACAAACAGCCCUUGCUAAGUUUCCUUUAUUAUAAUUAUGAUGUGAGAUUUUGUUGUUUUUGCUUUUUUGUAUUUGGCAAUAAAUUACUUCUAAAAAUA